RNAcentral lists this long non-coding RNA (829 nucleotides) under Amazona collaria (yellow-billed parrot). RNAcentral describes it as "lncRNA (ENSACOG00000001279.1)". Lineage: Eukaryota; Metazoa; Chordata; Aves; Psittaciformes; Psittacidae. The record is from RNAcentral.
UGACGGCACUGCCCACAUCUUCCUGUCCCCAGUGGGUUCCUUCCCCUCCCUGGUGUCCUGCAGUGGCAGCUCACUCCCAUCGACCGCAGCGGGCAGCCAGGGGCCAGCCCAGGCGCCGCACUGACAUCAGGGGCCAAGGUCCAGCCUGGAGGCUACGCAGCAGCAGCGGGACAGCCGGAGCCGGGCCCCCACAGCACCAUGAGGCUGGGGCUGCUCUGCGGCCUCACUGCCGCCGCUGCCCUCAUGACAGUGGCGGGAGCUGACCAUGGAAACACGAAGGCCUCACAGCGGAGAGAGGGAACGAGUGGCGUUGGCCGGCGCCGGCCCCACAGACCCUGCUCCGGGUGCUUCUCCGUCCUGAGCGAGGAGUCGCAGUCGAUGUCGUGGCGUGCCAGCGAGGAUGAUGAGGAUCAGCCGCGCAGGCGGGCGCGUAUGGAGCCAGUGGAGGAGGAUGGUGAAAGGGGAGGGACAGGAGGGAGGACGAGGAACCGGCACAGCGUGAGACACCCCGGCACCGUCCUACUGCCGCGACAGGAGGUGCUGAGUGCCCAGACAGCGCGGCAAGGAGCAAAGCUGGUGCCUUCGCACAGCCCCAUGCCAGGAGGGAACCGGGGGCCCAGCCAACCCCAAGCCAUGCCCUGAGGCAGCUGGGGUCCCACCCGCACCAUCCACAGGGUAUAAGUGAGCCUGUGCCUGAGCAAACCCAGGUCCACUGACCACCCUGUGCACCCCCAAAGUGCUCCUGGGGUCAGCCCCCUGGCCCUGCAUUGCCAAGACACUGAAUAAAGCCAGAGAGCCAGAGCAUGUGGGUGCAUCUGUCUAUAUGUCC